GAUGAACGCUGGCGGCGUGCCUAAUACAUGCAAGUCGAGCGAACGGACGAGAAGCUUGCUUCUCUGAUGUUAGCGGCGGACGGGUGAGUAACACGUGGAUAACCUACCUAUAAGACUGGGAUAACUUCGGGAAACCGGAGCUAAUACCGGAUGAUAUUUUGAACCGCAUGGUUCAAAAGUGAAAGACGGUCUUGCUGUCACUUAUAGAUGGAUCCGCGCUGCAUUAGCUAGUUGGUAAGGUAACGGCUUACCAAGGCAACGAUGCAUAGCCGACCUGAGAGGGUGAUCGGCCACACUGGAACUGAGACACGGUCCAGACUCCUACGGGAGGCAGCAGUAGGGAAUCUUCCGCAAUGGGCGAAAGCCUGACGGAGCAACGCCGCGUGAGUGAUGAGGGUCUUCGGAUCGUAAAACUCUGUUAUUAGGGAAGAACAUAUGUGUAAGUAACUGUGCACAUCUUGACGGUACCUAAUCAGAAAGCCACGGCUAACUACGUGCCAGCAGCCGCGGUAAUACGUAGGUGGCAAGCGUUAUCCGGAAUUAUUGGGCGUAAAGCGCGCGUAGGCGGUUUUUUAAGUCUGAUGUGAAAGCCCACGGCUCAACCGUGGAGGGUCAUUGGAAACUGGAAAACUUGAGUGCAGAAGAGGAAAGUGGAAUUCCAUGUGUAGCGGUGAAAUGCGCAGAGAUAUGGAGGAACACCAGUGGCGAAGGCGACUUUCUGGUCUGUAACUGACGCUGAUGUGCGAAAGCGUGGGGAUCAAACAGGAUUAGAUACCCUGGUAGUCCACGCCGUAAACGAUGAGUGCUAAGUGUUAGGGGGUUUCCGCCCCUUAGUGCUGCAGCUAACGCAUUAAGCACUCCGCCUGGGGAGUACGACCGCAAGGUUGAAACUCAAAGGAAUUGACGGGGACCCGCACAAGCGGUGGAGCAUGUGGUUUAAUUCGAAGCAACGCGAAGAACCUUACCAAAUCUUGACAUCCUUUGACAACUCUAGAGAUAGAGCCUUCCCCUUCGGGGGGGACAAAGUGACAGGUGGUGCAUGGUUGUCGUCAGCUCGUGUCGUGAGAUGUUGGGUUAAGUCCCGCAACGAGCGCAACCCUUAAGCUUAGUUGCCAUCAUUAAGUUGGGCACUCUAAGUUGACUGCCGGUGACAAACCGGAGGAAGGUGGGGAUGACGUCAAAUCAUCAUGCCCCUUAUGAUUUGGGCUACACACGUGCUACAAUGGACAAUACAAAGGGCAGCGAAACCGCGAGGUCAAGCAAAUCCCAUAAAGUUGUUCUCAGUUCGGAUUGUAGUCUGCAACUCGACUACAUGAAGCUGGAAUCGCUAGUAAUCGUAGAUCAGCAUGCUACGGUGAAUACGUUCCCGGGUCU
Molecule: ribosomal RNA, 1374 nt
Filed under: uncultured bacterium
Lineage: Bacteria
Description: bacterial SSU rRNA
Rfam family: Bacterial small subunit ribosomal RNA
Source: RNAcentral